UGGUCAAGUUAUUAAGGGUGCAGGGCGGAUGCCUUGGCACUAGGAGCCGAUGAAGGACGUGAUAAGCUGCGAUAAGCUUCGGGGAGUUGCACGUAAACUUUGAUCCGAAGAUUUCCGAAUGAGGAAACUCACUUAGAGUAAUGUCUAAGUAUCAUUAAGUGAAUACAUAGCUUAAUGAGGGGAACUCAGGGAACUGAAACAUCUAAGUACCUGAAGGAAGAGAAAGAAAUUCGAUUCCGUAAGUAGCGGCGAGCGAACGCGGAUUAGCCCAAACCAAUAAAGUUUUCUUUAUUGGGGUUGCGGACAUAUCAUAACGAAGAGGUAUCGUAAUUGAAGAGGUUUGGAAAGACUCACCACAGAAGGUAAUAGUCCUGUAUGUUAAACGAGAAGACUUUAGAUAUGAUCCAGAGUACCACGGGACACGUGAAACCCUGUGGGAAGCAGGAGGG
This 449-nucleotide ribosomal RNA is filed under the name Clostridioides difficile. RNAcentral's name for it is "partial 23S ribosomal RNA". It matches the Rfam family "Bacterial large subunit ribosomal RNA", at positions 1 to 451 of the family's 2925-position model. The record is from RNAcentral. Lineage: Bacteria; Bacillati; Bacillota; Clostridia; Peptostreptococcales; Peptostreptococcaceae.